AACGCGAAGAACCUUACCUGGGCUUGAACCGCACAGGACCAGCUUGAGAAAUCAGGCCUUCCCGCAAGGGACCUGUGUAGAGGUGCUGCAUGGCUGUCGUCAGCUCGUGCCGUGAGGUGUUGGGUUAAGUCCCGCAACGAGCGCAACCCUUGUCCUGUGUUGCUAACCCCUUAAAAGGUGCACUCUCAGGAGACCGCCAGCGAUAAGCUGGAGGAAGGUGGGGAUGACGUCAAGUCAUCAUGGCCUUUAUGUCCAGGGCUACACACGUGCUACAAUGGGCGGUACAAAGCGUUGCCAACCCGCGAGGGGGAGCUAAUCGCAAAAAACCGCUCUCAGUUCGGAUUGCAGGCUGCAACUCGCCUGCAUGAAGCUGGAAUCGCUAGUAAUGGCGUAUCAGAACGACGCCGUGAAUACGUUCCCGGGCCUUGUACACACCGCAUAC
RNAcentral lists this ribosomal RNA (442 nucleotides) under uncultured bacterium. RNAcentral's name for it is "bacterial SSU rRNA". It matches the Rfam family "Bacterial small subunit ribosomal RNA", at positions 958 to 1397 of the family's 1533-position model. The record is from RNAcentral.